GACGAACGCUGGCGGCGUGCCUAAUACAUGCAAGUAGAACGCAGUUGCGAACGGGUGAGUACCGCGUAGGUAACUGCCUGGUAGCGGGGGAUAACUAUUGGAAACGAUUGCUAAUACCGCAUACUACCAGAUGGACCUGCGUUUGAUUAGCUAGGUGGUGAGGUAACGGCCCACCAAGGCAACGAUACAUAGCCGACUUGAGGAGGAGAACGGCCACAAGGGGAAUGAGCAACGGCCCAGACUCCUAAGGGAGGCAGCAGUAGGGAAUCAUCGGAAAUGGGGGGAACGCUGACCGAGCAACGCCGCGUGAGUGAAGAAGGUUUUCGGAUCGUAAAGCUAUGUUGUUAAGGAAGCGGUACUUAACCAGAAAGGGACGGCUAACUACGUGCCAGCAGCCGCGGUAAUAC
Molecule: ribosomal RNA, 407 nt
Filed under: uncultured bacterium
Lineage: Bacteria
Description: partial 16S ribosomal RNA
Rfam family: Bacterial small subunit ribosomal RNA
Source: RNAcentral